Long non-coding RNA from Cyprinus carpio carpio, 1034 nucleotides. The record is from Ensembl. Lineage: Eukaryota; Metazoa; Chordata; Actinopteri; Cypriniformes; Cyprinidae.
UUUCAAGACUCUUUGAGGAAGUACUACGGACCGCUCAUGUCAUGUUUCUAUGCGUUUGAAAUCCAAAACGCAGGCGGUGGCAGAAGAGUCACUGGAUGUGUGUAAUGAUUAGCGAGGACUAUAACUGGAAGGCUCAAACUACCUGGGACAGAUGCCAAAUGCUGACAAAGGCAAUCAUUGCAUUCUCGGGGCAAGCAAAAUCAACUCUUUUGUCCUCUUGCGCUUCUUUUGGGAGGGUUAUUUAUAACUCCUCGAGAAACCACCGAAUGCAUUGACUAAAUGCUUAAGGGGUCGGUCACAUGCUUUGGCUAAAUGGAAUAAAAAAUCAUUUUCUGUCUUUCACUUUGCAUCCUGUGCCAAAGUGGGCAGGGAGAAAGAGCUCGUGGUGAGGUGGGUGAAACGGAGGCCGCUGUACGUGCUCUUUCUUCAGCCACAACCCCGUGGAAGAGCAUGUUUGGUGGUAGCACGUUUCUAGGUCUCUCUCCCCGAGAUAGGCGUAGUAUGUGCAUAAGUCUACUCUUCUCGCCGCCAUGACCCUGCCUUGUGUUCUUUGAUGUUGAAGCCUCUAGUCUGCAGCAGCUCUGGCUCUCUUGUUCACUGUUGUCUUCCUCUUGUAAACGUGUCUGCUUCACCCCUGAGUCCAUGCCUCGGAUUCCGCCAUUUCUACUACACUAAACAAUUUUCGGACAAAUCAGUUGUUUAUUUACAUUUGAUAAAUGUUUUUAGGCUCGAAGCUAUUAUUUUAAAAAAGGGGGGGGGAGUAUUGUUGUUAUUAUUUAAAAAAAAAAAGAAGUUCUUUUCACAAUUAGGUACGCGAUCCUUCAGAAAGCAUGUAUGUUCUUUUAGUUUUUGUUCAUUUUGUGCAUUUGAUUGUAGGGUUUGAGUUUGUUUAAGGAUUUGAAUGCAUUUGAACAUCCAAAUAGAGUUUAGGUGCUGCCUUAAUGUUUUUAAAGGGAAAUUAACAGUGAUGUAUUUGGAUAUGAUGCUUAUGUUUCAUGAAUGCCCUAUAAAUUCCCAUUAUGUAAAAGUUCUGU